UACAGAAGCUAUCCCAUCUAUG
This 22-nucleotide non-coding RNA is filed under the name Arabidopsis thaliana (thale cress). Lineage: Eukaryota; Viridiplantae; Streptophyta; Magnoliopsida; Brassicales; Brassicaceae. The record is from RNAcentral.